GCACUGCUGAGGAGUCCCAAAAUAGGACGAAACGGCCGUCCAGUUC
This 46-nucleotide non-coding RNA is filed under the name Schistosoma mansoni. Lineage: Eukaryota; Metazoa; Platyhelminthes; Trematoda; Strigeidida; Schistosomatidae. The record is from RNAcentral.